GUUCUGGCUUCCCUUAUCUGCUUCGCAUUUAGUCUGUUUUUUUGGUUGAAGUAUAUGAAGAAAACCUGGCCUCACACAGACAUGUAGUUGGGAAAGUGAAGACCGCAAAGAUUCCCUGAAAGGAUAAUGGGACAACUUCAAGAACGGCUGCGAUACAUCAAGCACGAGAGCCAACAUGCUGUUCACCUGUAGCUGUUCAAUUCGGAAGCAGACUGACUGGAUUUAAAUUUCAGAUGUGUGGGCAAGUCACCUAAACACCCUGUGCCUCAGUUUCCCCCUAGAGAGGGUCAAAUGACUUGUUUUCUGUGGCGAGGCGAGAGCAAUGCUUGGCACAUACUAAGUGCUCAAUAAGUACUGACUGUUAGAAUCAUUGGCUCUGUGCCUGGCACUAGUAGGGGCUCCCUUUUCUUCCCAGGGCAGGCAUCCAUCCCCUCAGAGAUCAUCUUUAACCUGCCAGGAAUGGCCUGGGUUCCAUGAUCUCCAGGGCUGCCCUGAGACCUUGAGCUUCUUCAAGGGAAACCCAGCUAAGCCCAGUGUGUGCCUUGUGCCAUCUCUUUGGCCACAGCCCAAAGCAGCCUUGCAGUGUGUGCGUGCCAGCCUCUGGCAUGUCGGAUGGGGUGUACCUGCGUCGGAGCUGAGACAUUUUCCUCCCCAGCAGCUGGCGAUUAGGAAGUCACUCUCUAUAAUGGACGAGGCCUAAUCAGCCUGCUGAUAAUUACCAGGCCCAGAACGUGGCCGCGAUUCAGGAAAGAUGAUCCCCGAAGACAAGAGCCACUUAAAUCCUGGCAUUGACCACGGGUCCCCUUGGUAACCGAUAACUCUCAGCACAAUUUAGCCACUGAGCUAAUUGAUGUUCUCUGAGGCAGUCGGCUCAUACCCCGGCAGUCAAAAUGGGCUCUAAUUGCCGACAUCCUUCAGAUGUUUACUGAGCACUUGCUCUGUGCCAGGCGCUGUCCCAGGUGCUGGUCCUGCAGGAGUAUGUGGAGCCUAGAGUUUGAUGAGGGAGGAGCCAUUGAUGAAAUGCCACCCAAGAAGACUGCAACAGACGCUGUUGAAGCCUGCAGCAGAUGCUGUGGGAACCUCACUCAACCCCUCAGCUCUCACCUUUGAGGUGAAUGCCAAUGGUAUCCUGAGAUUCUUCACCUAAGGGCAUUCUCGAGGUUGGCACAGAGGGCAAGCUGGAAUUUUGAACCUCUCAACCCCCAUCCAUGGGAACUGGAAGACAAAAAUAUCCAGCUUCCUUAUCUAAUCAAGUGGGAUAGCUCUGAGGCCUGUUCUACAAUCUCCCAAGGACCCCUAACAGGAUGGAGCCCCAGCUGCCCACAGCAAUAACUGGCUCGCGAAUGCACUCCACAUCAUGCCCUUCCCGUCCCUGAAUCACUCCCUCGCUCCCAGACCUGGGCUCACUCUCCAAGUAAACUACUGACACUCAAAUCUUUGUCUCAGAGUGUGGUGCUGGGAAACUCAGCCUGAGACAGAUGUAAUUACAAACUGUGAUAGCUGCAAGCAAGGAGAGGGAUGCCGGGCCGCAUUCUGACAAGGUGUUGUCUGAAAUGACAGCUAAGGAAGCAUAGGCAUUAUCUAAUGUAGAUCGUCAGGAUGCAGCACAGCAAACAGAAACCGUUUUAGGAACAUUAACAGGAGGCAGGAAGGGUUGACCCAGCAGGGCUGGCUGUCAGCUCCUUGCACUGCUGCUAUGGCUUCACAGGAUUACUGUCCACAAACAAACAAACAGCACCAAAACUCCCAACAAUAAGAACAACAGAAAUCCCACCUAAGGCACCAAAGGCUUGGUGAGCAUGGAUGCAUGGCAAAACUGCCUCCUGAAGGCCAGAAGAAAGGAUUUCUCUCCUGUUUUCACCCACUCCCUGUGCCUCCUGACUGACCCCGGUGCUUCCCCCAUGGCUCUGCAGAUCUUGGUGUGCCCACUCCUCUUGGGAACUAACAGAGGGAAUUUCCUGGAAGGCAGGGUCUGUGUUCAUCUCCCACAGAGCAUAGAGCACAGUGGAUGCUGAGGAAAUGGUGAAUGCUGGAAAGGAGCAACAGGAUGCCAAGGCCAGAAGUUCACCUUUGUGACCAAACUGGCUGAAACUGGUGAGAUGCAAGACGGCAGCUCACUUGACCUCCAAAGAACCUCUAACUUCAUUAUAAUAUAAUUUCCUUGCUAAAUGACACUCCCAUCAGUGUCAUGACAGUUGACAUUGCCAUGACAAUGGCCAGAAGAAACCAUAAAGGGACAAAAAGGAAGGUAGUAACUCUGGUUCCAAGGAGUUCUCCCAUUUCCAGAAAAGACAUGGAUAUUCCUCCCCUUGCUUUUAAUGCCCAACUUUUUCAUUAAAGAUGAAGCCUGUAUCUAUGGUUUCCCAGCUCUCAGGAGCUGAGAAGUUGAUUUGUGAGCCAAACUCCCACUUCUCAAUAAAGGCCGUCGAAUAAAGCAUGCACUGUUUCAUGCUUACUUUUGGGUUCGUGUAUUGGCUUCACAGCACAGAACAGGAAAAGGCUCCAUCUUCUGGGGGACAGGCUUUGUUGGUAACAAAAGGACUGGCCCAGAGUCAGAGUUAGGAAGUGAUAAAGCCAGGUGUCUGCC
RNAcentral lists this long non-coding RNA (2587 nucleotides) under Homo sapiens (human). RNAcentral describes it as "HSALNT0060491". Lineage: Eukaryota; Metazoa; Chordata; Mammalia; Primates; Hominidae. The record is from RNAcentral.